RNAcentral lists this transfer RNA (97 nucleotides) under Halomonas sp. RNAcentral describes it as "tRNA-OTHER". It matches the Rfam family "tRNA". Rfam says of the family: Transfer RNA (tRNA) molecules are approximately 80 nucleotides in length. Their secondary structure includes four short double-helical elements and three loops (D, anti-codon, and T loops). The record is from RNAcentral. Lineage: Bacteria; Pseudomonadati; Pseudomonadota; Gammaproteobacteria; Oceanospirillales; Halomonadaceae.
UCCUCGAUAGCUCAGUUGGUAGAGCAAAUGACUGUUAAUGUAGAGCAAAUGACUGUUAAUCAUUGGGUCGCAGGUUCGAGUCCUGCUCGAGGAGCCA